This 253-nucleotide ribosomal RNA is filed under the name uncultured bacterium. RNAcentral's name for it is "partial 16S ribosomal RNA". It matches the Rfam family "Bacterial small subunit ribosomal RNA", at positions 524 to 776 of the family's 1533-position model. The record is from RNAcentral.
UACGGAGGGGGCUAGCGUUGUUCGGAAUUACUGGGCGUAAAGCGCACGUAGGCGGAUCAGAAAGCCAGAGGUGAAAUCCCAGGGCUCAACCUUGGAACUGCCUUUGAAACUCCUGGUCUUGAGGUCGAGAGAGGUGAGUGGAAUUCCGAGUGUAGAGGUGAAAUUCGUAGAUAUUCGGAGGAACACCAAUGGCGAAGGCAAGCUCCUGGCCGAUGAUUGACGCUGAGGUGCGAAAGUGUGGGGAUCAAACAGG